Molecule: unclassified non-coding RNA, 328 nt
Filed under: Bombus terrestris (buff-tailed bumblebee)
Lineage: Eukaryota; Metazoa; Arthropoda; Insecta; Hymenoptera; Apidae
Description: misc RNA ENSBTSG00005030016.1
Source: RNAcentral
UUUAUUAGGCGCGCUGAAAAAAUACGGAGAAAGCGAACACGCACCCAUCGGGAAGAAUCGAAUAGCUAGCUAAUAAAACAAUCAGGUUUUUCCAUGAACAAGGUCACCUAUCAACCACGAUGGUAGGAGGCCUUCUACCCAUCCCUUCAAGCAUCAGCGUAGGGCAUAACCAAUCGACAUCGCGGAUCGUUACCCUCACUUUUCUUAACGAAAAGUGUGAACAACGAAUCCGCGUUCGUCAUGCAAAAGGGCACACCCACACUGAACUUUCUUCCAUCUCAACGCAAGAGCGACCAGCUAUCAAAAUUCUAACGCCUAACGUCUAACU